GGGCGGGGCUCCUGCCCGCCGGCCUGGGACCGUGUAGGAGCGGCGGAGGCCCGGGGCCGGGAAGCCUGGGCGCGCGGGGUGGGCGCGGAGGGGCGGAAGGGGAGGCCGGAUGAGAUGAGGGUAGAACCCGGGAGGGCGCUGCCUGUGAGUGGCGCCAGGAUGGAUGUGCCCAGCGCAGCCUCCGCACGCUCUCCUGGGAACAAUGAGACCCAACAAAGGAUUCUUGGCUCUCCCACGUGGUGAACCGCGUCCGUCGCUCGUCGCUCGCUCUGCAAAAAGGCGCCAGGCACACUGUCGCCAGGGGAAACCCCAUCAGGCUCCUGACCCUACUUCCUUGGGCUCAGACAUCCCCAUCAAGCCUGGAAACGGCGCAGGCCCAGAAACCUAGUCCAGAAGUUACCCCCAGGAAACCCACGGCCCCCCAGGCACUCUCUUUCAUAGGAAGCUUAGGGUCCAGCCCCAGAGAGAAUGAUCACAAUGGACUUCUGUUCAAGAAGAAGGCAAGACAGGAAGUGACUAAGUGUGAGGUGUGAGUAACCGACAGACACAGCGAGAGGUCAUAUGAUGAAGCCAGCAGGAGUUUGACAACUCGGGACUGUUCUUCCCGGAAGCUAGCUGUGCCAAGGACAGACAGAACAAGACAACCUGACCAGCAGCACACUGGGUCCUGGUGCCGCUUGGAGCCAUGCUGCUUCCGUUCCUUUUUCCUCCACCUCCCUUGACCUCUCUGGCUCUGUCUCCACGGUGGAGGAACUGGGGCAACCAGAGGGGCCACGGGAGCAGAGGGAAGGGGCAGAGGAACGAGGGGGGCCAUGGAAGGGGCAGGUGCUUAUCAGCUGGGGAAGCUGUGGCCCCCAGAGGAUCCUCCUUGGCAGGCGGUGGGUGUGAGUAGGAGGCCCAGAGCCGCUCGGCAAACGGCAAAAAGGCUUCUGGCUCCCGUCCCUCUCAUGUGCCACGUUAACUUCCUGCCCACCAGGAGGAGGGAACAGCAAGAUGCCGUGUGAGGAAGAAAUAAACCCAGUCCAGCAUCUCAGACGCUUUUAAAAAUAGCAACUCUGGGAGGGUAGUUCAGCUCCUAUUUUUAUCAGACUUAUAUGGCCGGACCAUAGAGCUGAGCUGUUCCCAGGGUUCUCAAUAGCAGGCAGGGGACAUCACUGUUGUUGUGUUAGAAACCUGCCGGUAGGCCAGGAUAUUCCAGGAACCUUUAGGCUGGACGAGAUCCCAAGAAGUCCUUGCGUGCAGCCCUCGCCUCUGCUUGGGGCCAGUCAAUUAACCACAGGUAGUUUAUCUUUUUUGCCCGAAAGUCACUUGGUUGCUGUGCCCUCCACUGCGUUAAUCUAGGAUUUCACAACCCUUCUCAUCAGGAAGUUCUUUUAAAUAUCUAGCCCAAGUAUCUCUGGUUACAUCCUUUUCGGUCCUUCUCACAGUAGAAAAAUCUAGCCCACGUUUACCCUGUGGCGACUACGUCUACAAAAGGCUCUUCUUUAAUCCCCACAAAACCCCUCACAGGGAGCACUCUUACCAUUGAUAAAUUGGGAGCAGUUAUGGAAUUGCCUAUUGCCUGCGAUCAUACCAUACCUGGGGAAAGGUGCAGAUGCUGUGCCGAAGCCAUCAGACCAUUUGCCUCCCAGACAUGCGCCCUUAGCUCGGACUUUGACUUCAUCACAGUCCCAAAGGACGAAGUGGCCCUUGUUCUCGUUGUGGACUUGUACGUCGUGCUAGAAGCUUGGCUUAGAUCCCAGCGUGCUGAACCACAGUCCGCCUUGACCACCCAGCCUCUGCUUGUGCAGGCCAUUUGGCUAGCAAAUGUAGCCUGGAAAUUUGCCUUCUCUUUCCAUAAGGACUCCCAGCCCCCUCUGCCUUUUUUGGAAGGCAUUCACUGCUUUUGUCAUUACUUUGUAAUGACUACCUGGGUUCCUCACUAAAUCGUAAGCUCCAUGUGAGCUCUAUCUCCAGAUUCUAACUUAAAAAAAAAAAAAAAAUUCGGGGGGCACCUGGGUGGCUCAGUGGGUUAGGUCUCUGCCUUCAGCUCAGGUCAUGAUCUCAGGGUCCUGGGAUGGAGCCCCACACCUGGCUCCCUGCUCAGCAGGAAGUCUGCUCCCCCCCGCCCCCGCCUGCCUCUCUGCCUACUUGUGACCUCUCUCUGUGUCAAAUAAAUUUUAAAAAUUCUAAAAAAAAUAUUCAGGAAGAUGUACAAAACAUGUGUAUUGAAUUGAAACACUUUAAAUCAAUUCAGUCCCUGCUUAUUUUUUAAGUGGUUAAAACAUGGUAACUUCAAGUUUGUGUAGAUUUCAGAAUCCAGUAUCAUUCCACUAAUAAUAGCGCUAGAACAAACACAGGGUUGCCAACAUUUAUUUAUUUUGCUGGGUGAGGAUAUUUUAAAAACAACCACCACCAAUGACAACCAUCUUCUUUAAAAAAGGACAUUUUAAGAUCAUAUAUACAUGCUUGGAAUGAAGAUUUUGGUCCUUUCUGAGAAGGAAGAGUUGGCCAAUCUACAUCAGUCUAUUCAGAAAGAAAAGAGACGAAAAACGAAAAACGUUUUGGAUAUGGAAGCCUUACAAGAGAAACAACUUCAAAUGUUACUUUGUAU
Lutra lutra (Eurasian river otter) is the source of this 2593-nucleotide long non-coding RNA. RefSeq lists it as uncharacterized. NCBI's taxonomy places the organism in Eukaryota, Metazoa, Chordata, Mammalia, Carnivora, Mustelidae. The transcript is spliced from 4 exons. The record is from RefSeq and is a predicted model, not a curated record.